RNAcentral lists this ribosomal RNA (164 nucleotides) under uncultured bacterium. RNAcentral's name for it is "partial 16S ribosomal RNA". It matches the Rfam family "Bacterial small subunit ribosomal RNA", at positions 355 to 511 of the family's 1533-position model. The record is from RNAcentral.
UAGGGAAUCUUCCACAAUGGACGAAAGUCUGAUGGAGCAACGCCGCGUGAGUGAAGAAGGGUUUCGGCUCGUAAAACUCUGUUGUUAAAGAAGAACAUAUCUGAGAGUAACUGUUCAGGUAUUGACGGUAUUUAACCAGAAAGCCACGGCUAACUGCGUGCCAA